This is a long non-coding RNA of Papaver somniferum (opium poppy), 605 nucleotides long. RefSeq lists it as uncharacterized. The record is from RefSeq and is a predicted model, not a curated record. Lineage: Eukaryota; Viridiplantae; Streptophyta; Magnoliopsida; Ranunculales; Papaveraceae. The transcript is spliced from 3 exons.
GAGAGAGAGAAAAUGAGAGAAUGGUUACAAAUUUGAUUUUGAGUUUUCUGCUUUCGAUCUAAAUUGAUUAAAAGGAUAUAAACAAUAGAUUUGUAAGAUUAGAUCCAGCUUGCAGAUUCAUUUAAUGAUCUUAUCAAUUUUAGACUGCUAAAGUUGCUCCUGAUGGUGAUGAUUUUGAUUCGUAUUAUACUCGUGUUUAAGGUGUUUGUAGGUGUAGAGACUAUCCAAGAAACUAAGGAGAUAAUUAACGAAAUGAAAGAAAAUGACCCGAUGCGGCUACUGAAUCUAGAGGUUCUAAGGAUAGUGUGUCGUAUCCAGGUACAGUACACAUACUGUAUACGUUUACAUUGAUCCUAGUUUUACAACUGAGUGUUAUCGUAAUGCCUAUUCACAUCCAAUUGCUCUUAUUCCCGAUGUCAAGAAACCGAAUGAAGUUAAUGAAAGCACUAAGGUCAACGCUCCUUCUGUUAUUAAAGGACUUGGAAGACAAAAAAAAUUAGGUAUAUACCUCGUUCUGAGAAGCCAAGGAAUAAACGGAUGCAUGGUAGCUGUAAAAAGCCAACUUUUCACAACAAGAGAUAUCCAGAUCCUCCUGGUGAAGCUCC